Non-coding RNA from Nothobranchius furzeri (turquoise killifish), 490 nucleotides. The record is from RefSeq and is a predicted model, not a curated record. NCBI's taxonomy places the organism in Eukaryota, Metazoa, Chordata, Actinopteri, Cyprinodontiformes, Nothobranchiidae.
CAGCCAGAAUGGAGCUCACAGCCGCAGUGUGUCUGGUGACCCACGGGGACCAUGAUGGAAAUUCAUCUUCCAGAAAGUCCCAGAACAGCGUCCACAACCCUGAAAAGACCAAGAUGUAAGGUGUCUGCUGUUGAUUCCAGCUUCCACCUCAGUGACAGUGCAAGCUCAGUGAACUGUUCAAGGAGGCUACUGAUUCUGGCCCUGUGACACUUGGUGGUGACGUGUGAGCUGAUUCACCUGGACACUCAGCAAAAUAUGGACUCUACACCAUGAGGCAGGCACACGUUAAUACUUAUAAGAGCACAUAAGCAUGAGGAUGUCCUCACACACCUGUAACCUAUCAGCUCAUCUGGCAGAAUAGAGAGAGAAGAGACAACACCACAUCUCCUGUUCCUGGAAAGCCUUCAGCCAUCCUUCGAUGACUGAGAACCUCCAUCAGCUCUGUCUCCUGUCUGCCUACAAUUAUUAUAAUAAAUAUUGUGUUUGACAA